Molecule: transfer RNA, 74 nt
Filed under: Thermoplasmata archaeon
Lineage: Archaea; Methanobacteriati; Thermoplasmatota; Thermoplasmata
Also listed under: 1 other name
Description: tRNA-Thr
Rfam family: tRNA
About the family: Transfer RNA (tRNA) molecules are approximately 80 nucleotides in length. Their secondary structure includes four short double-helical elements and three loops (D, anti-codon, and T loops).
Source: RNAcentral
GCCACUGUAGCUUAGCUCGGUGGAGCGGCUGAUUUGUAAUCAGCAGGUCGGGGGUUCAAAUCCCUCCAGUGGCU